GUGUUCGUGUCAGCAGCACAUAUGGUAAAAUUGGAAUGAUACAGAGAAGAUGAGCGCGGCCUCUGUGCAAGGAUGGCACGCAAAUUUGGGAAGCGUUGCAUUACAAA
This is a small nuclear RNA of Camelus dromedarius (Arabian camel), 107 nucleotides long. The record is from Ensembl. Lineage: Eukaryota; Metazoa; Chordata; Mammalia; Artiodactyla; Camelidae.